UAGGUGACUCUACUGUCAAGUGCUUUCCCAGU
This 32-nucleotide non-coding RNA is filed under the name Rattus norvegicus (Norway rat). The record is from RNAcentral. Lineage: Eukaryota; Metazoa; Chordata; Mammalia; Rodentia; Muridae.